RNAcentral lists this ribosomal RNA (443 nucleotides) under uncultured bacterium. RNAcentral describes it as "partial 16S ribosomal RNA". It matches the Rfam family "Bacterial small subunit ribosomal RNA", at positions 338 to 795 of the family's 1533-position model. The record is from RNAcentral.
CCUACGGGUGGCAGCAGUGGGGAAUAUUGGGCAAUGGGCGCAACCCUGAUGCAGCAACGCCGCGUGAGGGAAGAAGUAUUUCGGGAUGUAAACCUCUAUUCGCAGGGACGAAGAAAGUGACGGUACCUGAAGAAUAAGCCACGGAUAAAUACGUGCCAGCAGCCGCGGUAAGAAGUAGGUGGCAAGCGUUAUGCGGAUUUACUGGGUGUAAAGGGCGGGUAGGCGGGAAAGCAAGGAAGAUGUGAAAACCCGGGGCUCAACCUGUGGACUGCAGUGGAAACUGGUUUGCUUGAGUACUGGAGAGGCAGACGGAAUUCCGAGUGUAGCGGUGAAAUGCGUAGAUAUUAGGAGGAACACCAGUGGCGAAGGCGGUCUGCUGGACAGCAACUGACGCUGAGGCGCGAAAGCGUGGGGAGCAAACAGGAUUAGAUACCCGUGUAGUC